RNAcentral lists this ribosomal RNA (499 nucleotides) under uncultured bacterium. RNAcentral's name for it is "partial 16S ribosomal RNA". It matches the Rfam family "Bacterial small subunit ribosomal RNA", at positions 28 to 507 of the family's 1533-position model. The record is from RNAcentral.
GACGAACGCUGGCGGCGUGCUUAACACAUGCAAGUCGAACGGGCCUGUCUUCUUUUUUGGGGGUGGGUUGAGUGGCGAACGGGUGAGUAUCACGUGAGUAACCUGCCCUUCGGUCCUGGAUAACCGCUUGAAAGGGCGGCUAAUACGGGGUGGUCCGGUUGGUCCGCAUGGGCUGGUCGGGAUAGAUUCACUGUUUUUGGUGUUUCGGCGGGGGAUGGGCUCGCGGCCUAUCAGCUUGUUGGUGGGGUGAUGGCCUACCAAGGCGGUGACGGGUAGCCGGGCGGAGGGGGUGGGCGGCCACACUGGGGCUGCGGUACGGCCCAGACUGCUGCGGGGGGCAGCAGUGGGGGGGAUUGCACAAGGGGCGGAAGCCUGAUGCAGCGACGUCGCGUGAGGGAUGGAGGCCUUCGGGUUGUGAACCUCUGUUUCCGGUGGUGAAGGCCCUGUCCGUGUGGUGGGGUUGACGGUAGCCGGGGAUGAAGCGCCGGCUAACUACGUG